UUACUGUCCAACUUUGGGGUUUUCUUGCCUUUUUUCUCUCAGAGUUGAGCCCCUGCCCGGGCUGUUUAGUCCCUCGGUCACGAGGAACGGUAGAGUUUAGAAUCUGUGAGUACGUUAGAAAGUUCGCAGUCGAGUAAGAACUGGGUUCGGGCAAGGGCAGCUGGUCCGGUACCAAGGAAAAACAGGCUGGGAUGGUGAAGGGGUCAGUGGCUACAAGGCUGGAAGUUAAGCACCAGAAGGGAAUUUGGAGAUCAAUUCAACCGCCUCAUUUCGGUCAUACUUAAAUUGAAACCCAGAAAGAUGAGGUAAUUUGCAGAAGGUCACCCAGCAACCCCUGAGCAGGCAGGACUGCAACACAGAUGUCUGACGUGGCCUUCCACUGUGUAAUACUAAGCAGAUAGGACGUAAAUUCCUUUGCAGACGUCUCAUUUUUCCUUACCCCCUGCCUCUCAUAUUACACACCUUCCCCAUUUUGCUUUUCUUCUUUUACUUUGCACUUGUUUUUGUACAUCUAAAAGGAAUUAAUUAUUCAACAGCAGUGGGAACCCUUAAAACAUAAUCUGGAAAAAAAGAUCAAUAAAGUUUUAUGUCGCGUAGUGAAAAGAGCAUGUGCGUUAGAGACAAACCUGGGCUGCAGCUAUUUACUUGUGAGAUCUUUAGGUCAAUUGGCUUUUAUUACAGCUUUUAAACCAUAAUAAAAUUGGGAUCCCUGCCUCGCAGAAGAUUGAUUAAAUGGAUCAUAAAUUGUCCAACUAGUGCCUAGCAAAUAGUACAUACUCAGUAUUUUCCCCUUUUUAAUCCCCGUUUUACAGGCGAUGGAACUCACCAGAGACCAGAGAGCUACAGAAUGGCUGAACUGGGUUUUAAAUCUAGUCAAUCUUGACCCCAGAGCUCUCCAGCCUAAAGCACCCUUCUAUCAUAGAGGUCGUCAUCCACAUUCCACAGAUGAGAAAAGGAAGCUUGGAGAAGGAGGUUCCAGGCUGCACACCUAUUGCUGAGGAGAGCUGAAAUUCCAACCAUGUUUCUCCAGCUCCAAAGUCUGUGCCUCUACCACUUGAUAUAAAAGACCAUGUGACCACAUCACUAGCUACAAACAGCUCUAACUAAAUAAAAAGCAUGCUGAUCUGACCUCUGGAAGAGAACCUUUGUCAAUCAAUAUCUAGUGUUGUCCCAGGAAGAGAGAUUCGAUGUCUAGCAGACACUGGAAAGCCUACCUUGUAUAAGUGCAAGGGGAUCUGCUGACCCUGCCCCAUUUACUCAAGGUCCCAGUACUUAAGGAAUAUCUUUCAGAAGGAUGGAUGAAUAUUAAGAAACUAAGGAGCAAAGGAAUCAAGGAUUUCUUCCAGUCCACCUAGGAAGUUAGCUGCAUAGUUAGAAAUAGAACUGUAGACUUCUGGCCUGUUUUCCAAACCACAGAUAUGCUUGGUUUAUGCAGGUUUUGUCUGCUGCCCGCUCGGUGCUGAAGUCAACUUCCUGCUGCUGUUGGCACAUCUGCCCCCUGCAGCUGAGCUUUUUCUGGUUGGUGAUUACUCCGUACACUGGUUUGCUGCUAUUUGGAGAAUCAGAUAAGUAGCUUGUUUACAUUUGUUAUGAAGAAUCUGUAAUGUAAGAGGGAGCUGCAACCUCUGACCCUGAUGGGACUGUAUAACCCACCUUCUGCACAGACUUUGUAGGCUAGAGCUGUGCUUGGGAGCUUGGUUGUUGCUGGAAAUAUGGUGUCUAGAUGAGGAGUUUUUAAUAUACUGUUAUGGGCUGAAUUGUGUCCCCCUCAAAAUUCACAUGUUGAACCCCCAUCCCCAGUAUCUCAGAAUAUGAUACUUGGAGAUAGGGUCUUUAAAGAGGUAGUUAAAUUAAAAUGAGUCAUUAGUGUGGGUCCUAAUCUGAUAGGACUGGUGUCCUUAUAAAAAGAGAUUAGGACACAGACUGGCACAGAGGGAAGACCCUGUGAAGACACAGAAAGAAGAUGGCGGUCUACAAGCCAAGGAAAAACACCACUGAAGAAACCAACCCUGCUAACACUUUGAUCUUGGACUUCUAGCCCCCAGGAUUGUGAGAAAAUAAUUUUUCAUUGCUUAAGACACUCAGUCUAUGGUGCUUUGUUAUGGCAGCCCGAGCUGACUAAUCCACUAACCAGGCAGCUUUCACCUGUGGUGUAGUGUCCUGAGAUUAUGCCUGGAGUAGAGAAAAGUAAGAGCUAUCCCAUAGGCUCCCCUCACCAAGCCCACGUCUCAGGACAACUCCUUUAUUUAACCUGUUGGUAUUACUGCAAACUUUAAGGUUUUCUAGGUACAGAGCCGCCAACUCACUGACGAGAAAGGAAGAGAUGACUGGACCCUGCAAGGAGACAGAGAAAUGAGCUUUGAUGUACACAAGAAUAAUGAGGAAUUCAAGCAAAAAAAAAAAAAAAAGUUUCUCCUACGGGAAGAUGGAUUCUGAGCUGUUAGUUAAAAGUUAAGAAGAACACCAGGAAUUGUUGUUAAUUCUUUCCUAAAUCUAUCAGUUCAAUUAGCUGCUGAGACCAAAAAAAGUCAUAAAUUGCGAAUUUUUAUACACAAAACAUUUUUUAUAAAGCAUAAAAGUAAAUCAUCAGGGUAUCCUUGAACAAAAACCACAGUGAAAGAUGAAUGACUAUGUAAAAACCCAAUUUGAAUAAUUUUAAAAAGACAUCAGAUAAAAAGAAAAGGCCUAGAGAGAGAAUGAAAAUUUGAAGGGAAAGAAGGGACUUAGAAAUGAGGGCAGAAGGG
This is a long non-coding RNA of Symphalangus syndactylus (siamang), 2744 nucleotides long. RefSeq lists it as uncharacterized. The record is from RefSeq and is a predicted model, not a curated record. Lineage: Eukaryota; Metazoa; Chordata; Mammalia; Primates; Hylobatidae.